AAGGUGGGUUGUGCUUACCGAAGUGAUUAGGUCACUUCCAUGCCAAAGUAGAUCAUGUUUUCAUUUGACGCAUAUAUGAGGAUAAAUGUCGACAUAUGAACAUUCAUGCUAAAUGAAUAUGAAUAUGAGUAUGAAUAUGAAUAUGAAUAUGAAUAUGAAUAUGAAUACUAUAUGGAUGCUGGAUGCAUAGAUCUGAAUGCAUAGAUACGAAUAUGAAUGCUAAAUGCGUGUGAAUAUGAAUGUAAAUGCUAUGUGAAUGCUAUACGAAUGCUAUAUGAAUGCUAAUGCUAAAUUCAUAUGAUCAAAGAUAAGUUAUGCUAAUGCUACGUUCAUGUGAUAUAUAAUUGUUGAACCUGUAAAUGCCAAGGGCAUCUAAGUUAAAUAUGAAAUGUGAAUAUAUAUAUGCUAAAGCCUACAUACUAUAUGAAUGUCACUAUAUGCUAAAUGCUAAAGCCUAUAUAGAUGCCAAGGACAUAUAAGUUGAAUGUGAAAUGUGAAUAUAGAUGCUAUAUGAACGUCGCUAAUUCUAGUUGAUUCGAAUGGUAUGUAAACUAUGAACUUCAUGUGAAAUCCCUAAGAAUCGGGUAUAAAUCGACAACUCCAAUUGAGUAGAAAUCUGGACACUGGACAGUAACAAAGUAAAUGAAAUUGUGCAAAUUAUGAUCCUAGAUAUGAAUAACUAGGAUAAUGAAUAGAUCGAAUGGCAUGAAAUAAACCUAGUGUUAUUGAACAUAGGUAGGACAUAAACCUAGUGUCAUUGGACCUAGGUCGAGUGUGUAAACCUAGAGUUGAGAUCUAGGAGAAAGUAUAUAAAACCUAGUGUAAGUGAACCUAGGUUAUGAUGUAAAGAACCACUUAGUAAAAGUAAACUAAGUUGUGAAUCAUAGUGGCAGUAGGACCACUAGAAAGUGAAUAGAAUAGACCUAGAAAGGUCGUCGACAUAGGGUAAAAGAGUAAACCCUUUAGUUGUGAAAAUGGAUUCCGGAAUCCCUAGGAAUGGUGUGAUGGCAGAAAUAGAAUCUUAACUACGGGAUUGACGGUUCUCCUCUCCCGGUAGUGAUUCAACGGGAUCGACGGUUCUCCUCUCCCGGUAUGCCAUGAAACAAGUGAAGUGAAUCGAAACUACGGGAUUGACGGUUCUCCUCUCCCGGUAGUGAUUCAACGGGAUUGACGGUUCUCCUCUCCCGGUUGAGCUAACGGGUUUGACGGUUCUCCUCGCCCGUUGAGCUUGAGCGACUUAGGGUCACGGGGAUCGACGGUUCUCCUCUCCCUGUGAUGGACCUAGUGUCGCGUGGACUUAAGGCUGAGGUGUUGUGAGACGUCCUUCACCUCGAGCCUGACUUGACGCGGUACUCCGCGGUUGAUUGACUCAAGACCGAGUCGAGUGGCUAGAUGGCUAAGGUAAAGUAACCUUAGGAAAGAAUCGCCAGUGAGUACAGUAAGAAUAAAGAAUAAAGCAUAAAGAAAAGAAUAAAGAAAAUAGCUAAUGAAUGAAACUAGCUAAGAAAGAAUAAAACGGCUACAAGUAAAGAAUGGCUAAUGAUAUAAAGUAGAAUCAAGUAAUCUACUUACAUGAUUUACAGGUAUUGCAUAGUGCAUAGCAGCGAGGCAAGGUAUGGUUCUAUUUGUUGCAUCGUUAAAUAUCUAUCUAUCUAUUUGUUGAACUAACCUACUGUUGCCUCCUUUGGACCUGGUGGGUCGAGCUCUUCUCUUGGGUGGCCGUACCCACUGGGAACUAUAUUUAUAUAGUUCUCACCCCCG
This 1761-nucleotide long non-coding RNA is filed under the name Ananas comosus (pineapple). RNAcentral describes it as "long non-coding RNA (ACOM_LNC035923)". Lineage: Eukaryota; Viridiplantae; Streptophyta; Magnoliopsida; Poales; Bromeliaceae. The record is from RNAcentral.